RNAcentral lists this ribosomal RNA (497 nucleotides) under uncultured bacterium. RNAcentral describes it as "partial 16S ribosomal RNA". It matches the Rfam family "Bacterial small subunit ribosomal RNA", at positions 28 to 507 of the family's 1533-position model. The record is from RNAcentral.
GACGAACGCUGGCGGCGUGCCUAAUACAUGCAAGUUGAGCGCUGAAGGUUGGUACUUGUACCAACUGGAUGAGCAGCGAACGGGUGAGUAACGCGUGGGGAAUCUGCCUUUGAGCGGGGGACAACAUUUGGAAACGAAUGCUAAUACCGCAUAAAAACUUUAAACACAAGUUUUAAGUUUGAAAGAUGCAAUUGCAUCACUCAAAGAUGAUCCCGCGUUGUAUUAGCUAGUUGGUGAGGUAAAGGCUCACCAAGGCGAUGAUACAUAGCCGACCUGAGAGGGUGAUCGGCCCCAUUGGGACUGAGACACGGCCCAAACUCCUACGGGAGGCAGCAGUAGGGAAUCUUCGGCAAUGGACGAAAGUCUGACCGAGCAACGCCGCGUGAGUGAAGAAGGUUUUCGGAUCGUCAAACUCUGUUGGUAGAGAAGAACGUUGGUGAGAGUGGAAAGCUCAUCAAGUGACGGUAACUACCCAGAAAGGGACGGCUAACUACGUG